RNAcentral lists this ribosomal RNA (253 nucleotides) under uncultured bacterium. Its description in RNAcentral is "partial 16S ribosomal RNA". It matches the Rfam family "Bacterial small subunit ribosomal RNA", at positions 524 to 776 of the family's 1533-position model. The record is from RNAcentral.
UACGUAGGGGGCUAGCGUUGUCCGGAAUCAUUGGGCGUAAAGCGCGUGUAGGCGGCCCGAUAAGUCCGCUGUGAAAGUCCAGGGCUCAACCCUGGGAUGCCGGUGGAUACUGUCGGGCUCGAGUCCGGAAGAGGCGAGUGGAAUUCCUGGUGUAGCGGUGAAAUGCGCAGAUAUCAGGAGGAACACCAAUGGCGAAGGCAGCUCGCUGGGACGUGUCUGACGCUGAGACGCGAAAGCGUGGGGAGCAAACAGG